RNAcentral lists this ribosomal RNA (301 nucleotides) under uncultured bacterium. Its description in RNAcentral is "partial 16S ribosomal RNA". It matches the Rfam family "Bacterial small subunit ribosomal RNA", at positions 509 to 807 of the family's 1533-position model. The record is from RNAcentral.
CAGUAGCCGCGGGAAUACGAGGGGGGCAAGCGUUGUUCGGAUUUAUUGGGCGUAAAGGGUGCGUAGGCGGUUUGGCAAGUCUUGUGUGAAAUCUUCGGGCUCAACCCGAAGCCUGCACGAGAAACUACCGGGCUUGAGUAUUGGAGAGGUGAGUGGAAUUUCCGGUGUAGCGGUGAAAUGCGUAGAUAUUCGGAGGAACACCAGUGGCGAAGGCGGCUCACUGGUCCAUUACUGACGCUGAGGUGCAAAAGCGUGGGGAGCAAACAGGAUUAGAUACCCCAGUAGUCCCUGUCUCUUAUAC